RNAcentral lists this unclassified non-coding RNA (227 nucleotides) under Hevea brasiliensis (rubber tree). The record is from RNAcentral. Lineage: Eukaryota; Viridiplantae; Streptophyta; Magnoliopsida; Malpighiales; Euphorbiaceae.
GUUCAGCCUCUCCCUCAGUUGUGCAUAAGAAGCGUUAGCAUUGGGCUCAAUUGGCCGGUCGGAAUUAGCAAGCCACAACUUGGCGUGCUCGAUACAACGCUGCAACGCAUUCUUAUGAGAUAAGCUGGAAUCAACAGGGCGCGAAAUCAACAACCCGCCAAGCUUUGAAAUCAUGUCCAAAUCCCUUUCUCCAAGCAGAUCCGUAGCAUCAUCAGUCACAUAAUCGU